GGGCCUGUGGUGUAUGCAGUAACAUACCGUUGUUGCCACUCGGUGAAACGGGUGCAAAUCCCGUCGGGUCCA
This 72-nucleotide transfer RNA is filed under the name Parcubacteria group bacterium. Its description in RNAcentral is "tRNA-Gln". RNAcentral also lists the same sequence under 1 other name. The record is from RNAcentral.